AAUAUUAAAAUUAUUUCUGAAUCAUUUUCUAUAUUUUAUAUACCGAGAGAGAGAGACAGAAUAAGUUGAGCUGGAAUACUAUCAAGUAGCAAAUAAGUUUUAUGGUCAUUUAUUUAUUUUCAAUGAUGAAGCCUUCAAAUCGGCGAUUGGCAUUACUGAAUAUAAUCUAUACAAUUUGAAAUAUCUAGAAAUUAAAUUUUAAAUUUUUUCGACAUCACUGGCCUAACGAUCAAAAUAUUUCAAAAUUUAUAAUUUUAAUAAUNAUCUAUACAAUUUGAAAUAUCUAGAAAUUAAAUUUUAAAUUUUUUCGACAUCACUGGCCUAACGAUCAAAAUAUUUCAAAAUUUAUAAUUUUAAUAAUCAAUAUGAAGCUUUUUUAUUUAACAGUGUAAAGAUAUUCAAAUAAAUUAAAUUUUGGUUAGAAAAUUUUUUUAAACUAUUUAGAAUAAGAUCUACACCUUCGAUUUUAAAAUUAAUUAAUUAAUUAAUUAGGCUAAAAUAUUAUUAAUAGCAAGUCAUUAGUGGCACCAAGUUAUUGGUGCUAUUAAAUUUUCCGCUCUUUAAUGAAAAAAAUGUAUAGUUUGGUCUUCUAGGGUUGAGUGUAGAACUAUUAUAUUUACAAAAAUAUAAAAAAAUUGCUACAUUCAACUUUUUAACUCUUGAAUUAAAAAUUAUAGGGAUAAGAGGAUAGUGAAUUUUUUUUAGGAUUGAGUAGCUCCUCUAGAAUUUAGUGGUUCUUUUUUAGAAAAAUAAUAUUAACUCAGGAGUUAGAAAAUAGUUAAAAAGCUAAUU
Molecule: long non-coding RNA, 792 nt
Filed under: Ananas comosus (pineapple)
Lineage: Eukaryota; Viridiplantae; Streptophyta; Magnoliopsida; Poales; Bromeliaceae
Description: long non-coding RNA (ACOM_LNC040785)
Source: RNAcentral